Molecule: ribosomal RNA, 305 nt
Filed under: uncultured bacterium
Lineage: Bacteria
Description: bacterial SSU rRNA
Rfam family: Bacterial small subunit ribosomal RNA
Source: RNAcentral
AGAUUCCUACGGGAGGCAGCAGUGGGGAAUAUUGGGCAAUGGAGGCAACUCUUACCCAGCAAUGCCGCGUGAAUGAAGAAGGUCUUCGGAUUGUAAAGUUCUUUAAUUGGGGACGAAAAAAAUGACGGUACCCAAGGAAUAAGCCCCGGCUAACUACGUGCCAGCAGCCGCGGUAAUACGGGGGAUGCGAGCGUUAUCCGGAUUUAUUGGGUUUAAAGGGUGCGUAGGCGGCGCUUCAGGUCAGCGGUGAAAUACCGGGGCUCAACCCCGGGGCUGCCGUUGAAACCGGAGCGCUAGAAUUCCGA